Molecule: long non-coding RNA, 1734 nt
Filed under: Mus musculus (house mouse)
Lineage: Eukaryota; Metazoa; Chordata; Mammalia; Rodentia; Muridae
Description: long non-coding RNA chr11:93961691-93963425
Source: RNAcentral
UUUGGAAUGGCCAUGUGUAUGCUGUCACUGUAUGUUUAAAGUAUGUGAUCUGUCUUUUCAUUUGUUAUUUUACAGGGGUGACAGGAGACUGCUUGGAGUCUCAGAAGAGACUCUGAACUUUGGACUUUUAAACAUGCUGAGACUGACAGACUCUGGGAACCUGAAGUCCAACUUCAGGUUGGACUGAAUGCAUUUUUGCAUUAAGAUAGAGAGCUUCAAGUCUAUGGGACCAGAAAGUGAAAUGUGGUAGUUUGAAUAAAAAUGGCCCUGAAGGCUUAUUUAUAUAGAUUUGAAUGCUUAAUCACCAGGGAGUGGCAUUCUUAAAAAGGAUUAGCAGAUGUGGCCUUUUUGGAAGAAGUGUGGCACUUGGGGUGAGCUUUGAGUUUUAAAAGCCCAAGCCAGGCCCAAUGGCACCUUUUUCCGGGGCCUUCAGAUCUGGAUGUCUCAAUUUCUCCAACACCAUGUCUGCCUGCAUGCAGACAGGCAUGCCUGCCAUGAUGAUAGCAGACUAAACCACUGAGACUGUAAGCAGGCUCUAAUUACACUUUCUUUUAUAAGAGUUGCCUUGGCCAUGGUGUCUUUUUACAGCAACAGAGCAGUGACUAAGGCUGACCCUGUCUCAAAAAGCCAAAACAAAUAAAUAAAAUGCUAACCAUGCCACCUCCCAUAUCUUCCCAGCCCUGGUAAUAUAACAGCAGAGUCCUGACAGCAUGUGGUCCCUGAACACUUCUCACCCCAUCCUCCUUCUUACCAUCCAACCUUCUGUCUGUCUUUAAAAAGCAAAGUUGUGUCUGGUGUGGUUAUCCCAAUACACUCUAAAGUGGAAGAAUCAAAAGCUCCAGGCCAGCCUGGAGUACCUGUGGUCAGCCUAAGCUACAUGGUGAAGUCUAGGACACAGGCUGGACGACCUAUUAAGACUCUGCCUCAAUGAAUCAUUUUUAGGAAGAAUGAAUGAAAACAGACACCUAUUUUGUCUCAAAACUGUGUCUAAAGUAUCUAGGAAGGAGCUUGGCAUAGAUAUGGCAAGCUCAUUCUUGAAUAAGUCAGUGCUUGUCAACCUUCCCAAUGCUGCAAUCCUUUAAAAUACAGUUCCUCAUAUGGUGACCUCCAACCAUAACAUUACUUUUGUUGCUACCUCAUAACUGUAAUGUUGCUACUAUUAUGAAGUGUCAUGUAAAUAUCUGUGUUUUCUGAUCAUCUUAGGUGAUCCUGUAAAAGGGUCAAUCGAACCCAAAGAGGUCUUGACCCAAAGGUUGAAAACCAAUGAGCUGAAUAUUGAAAUUAACCAAGUUCCCCGUGUUCCAUGGGACUUCAGUCACACCGGUCUCUCCUGAUUUCUCCCAGUCCUGGGUCUUCAGCUGGCAAGCAAAUGCACAUUUUCUUUGUAGAUCAGACAGGCAAUUCUCAUCCUGACUGGCUAUCCCACCAGCCUGUUUCCUCUACAAUAAAGAGGACCUGCCACCCAAACAGGAAAUGCAACACUCGCUCUGCUCUACUCCCAAAUGAGUCAUUCCAUCUACAUCCCACAGACUCACCAUAGCAACCACUGGUCCUGAGUGCAUGUAUUUCACCAGGCCAGUAAAGAAGGGGCGGUCCUUCAGGUCAGUGUAGUGCUCCUUGAGAAGGUCCUCUGAAGCCUGUUACAGAACAUAUGGUGAGGGGUUGGGGAUUUAGCUCAGUGGUAAAGUGCUUGCCUAGCAAGCCCAAGGCCCUGGGUUCGGUCCUCAGCUCCGG